CGAACGCUGGCGGCGUGCCUAAUACAUGCAAGUCGAACGAACUCUGGUAUUGAUUGGUGCUUGCAUCAUGAUUUACAUUUGAGUGAGUGGCGAACUGGUGAGUAACACGUGGGAAACCUGCCCAGAAGCGGGGGAUAACACCUGGAAACAGAUGCUAAUACCGCAUAACAACUUGGACCGCAUGGUCCGAGUUUGAAAGAUGGCUUCGGCUAUCACUUUUGGAUGGUCCCGCGGCGUAUUAGCUAGAUGGUGGGGUAACGGCUCACCAUGGCAAUGAUACGUAGCCGACCUGAGAGGGUAAUCGGCCACAUUGGGACUGAGACACGGCCCAAACUCCUACGGGAGGCAGCAGUAGGGAAUCUUCCACAAUGGACGAAAGUCUGAUGGAGCAACGCCGCGUGAGUGAAGAAGGGUUUCGGCUCGUAAAACUCUGUUGUUAAAGAAGAACAUAUCUGAGAGUAACUGUUCAGGUAUUGACGGUAUUUAACCAGAAAGCCACGGCUAACUACGUGCCAGCAGCCGCGGUAAUACGUAGGUGGCAAGCGUUGUCCGGAUUUAUUGGGCGUAAAGCGAGCGCAGGCGGUUUUUUAAGUCUGAUGUGAAAGCCUUCGGCUCAACCGAAGAAGUGCAUCGGAAACUGGGAAACUUGAGUGCAGAAGAGGACAGUGGAACUCCAUGUGUAGCGGUGAAAUGCGUAGAUAUAUGGAAGAACACCAGUGGCGAAGGCGGCUGUCUGGUCUGUAACUGACGCUGAGGCUCGAAAGUAUGGGUAGCAAACAGGAUUAGAUACCCUGGUAGUCCAUACCGUAAACGAUGAAUGCUAAGUGUUGGAGGGUUUCCGCCCUUCAGUGCUGCAGCUAACGCAUUAAGCAUUCCGCCUGGGGAGUACGGCCGCAAGGCUGAAACUCAAAGGAAUUGACGGGGGCCCGCACAAGCGGUGGAGCAUGUGGUUUAAUUCGAAGCUACGCGAAGAACCUUACCAGGUCUUGACAUACUAUGCAAAUCUAAGAGAUUAGACGUUCCCUUCGGGGACAUGGAUACAGGUGGUGCAUGGUUGUCGUCAGCUCGUGUCGUGAGAUGUUGGGUUAAGUCCCGCAACGAGCGCAACCCUUAUUAUCAGUUGCCAGCAUUAAGUUGGGCACUCUGGUGAGACUGCCGGUGACAAACCGGAGGAAGGUGGGGAUGACGUCAAAUCAUCAUGCCCCUUAUGACCUGGGCUACACACGUGCUACAAUGGAUGGUACAACGAGUUGCGAACUCGCGAGAGUAAGCUAAUCUCUUAAAGCCAUUCUCAGUUCGGAUUGUAGGCUGCAACUCGCCUACAUGAAGUCGGAAUCGCUAGUAAUCGCGGAUCAGCAUGCCGCGGUGAAUACGUUCCCGGGCCUUGUACACACCGCCCGUCACACCAUGAGAGUUUGUAACACCCAAAGUCGGUGGGGUAACCUUUUAGGAACCAGCCGCCUAAGGUGGGACAGAUGAU
RNAcentral lists this ribosomal RNA (1480 nucleotides) under Lactiplantibacillus plantarum. Its description in RNAcentral is "bacterial SSU rRNA". It matches the Rfam family "Bacterial small subunit ribosomal RNA". The record is from RNAcentral. Lineage: Bacteria; Bacillati; Bacillota; Bacilli; Lactobacillales; Lactobacillaceae.